This 1372-nucleotide ribosomal RNA is filed under the name uncultured bacterium. RNAcentral describes it as "bacterial SSU rRNA". It matches the Rfam family "Bacterial small subunit ribosomal RNA", at positions 28 to 1381 of the family's 1533-position model. The record is from RNAcentral.
GAUGAACGCUGGCGGCGUGCCUAAUACAUGCAAGUCGAGCGAACGGACGAGAAGCUUGCUUUUCUGAUGUUAGCGGCGGACGGGUGAGUAACACGUGGAUAACCUACCUAUAAGACUGGGAUAACUUCGGGAAACCGGAGCUAAUACCGGAUAAUAUUUUGAACCGCAUGGUUCAAAAGUGAAAGACGGUCUUGCUGUCACUUAUAGAUGGAUCCGCGCUGCAUUAGCUAGUUGGUAAGGUAACGGCUUACCAAGGCAACGAUGCAUAGCCGACCUGAGAGGGUGAUCGGCCACACUGGAACUGAGACACGGUCCAGACUCCUACGGGAGGCAGCAGUAGGGAAUCUUCCGCAAUGGGCGAAAGCCUGACGGAGCAACGCCGCGUGAGUGAUGAAGGUCUUCGGAUCGUAAAACUCUGUUAUUAGGGAAGAACAUAUGUGUAAGUAACUGUGCACAUCUUGACGGUACCUAAUCAGAAAGCCACGGCUAACUACGUGCCAGCAGCCGCGGUAAUACGUAGGUGGCAAGCGUUAUCCGGAAUUAUUGGGCGUAAAGCGCGCGUAGGCGGUUUUUUAAGUCUGAUGUGAAAGCCCACGGCUCAACCGUGGAGGGUCAUUGGAAACUGGAAAACUUGAGUGCAGAAGAGGAAAGUGGAAUUCCAUGUGUAGCGGUGAAAUGCGCAGAGAUGUGGAGGAACACCAGUGGCGAAGGCGACUUUCUGGUCUGUAACUGACGCUGAUGUGCGAAAGCGUGGGGAUCAAACAGGAUUAGAUACCCUGGUAGUCCACGCCGUAAACGAUGAGUGCUAAGUGUUAGGGGGUUUCCGCCCCUUAGUGCUGCAGCUAACGCAUUAAGCACUCCGCCUGGGGAGUACGACCGCAAGGUUGAAGCUCAAAGGAAUUGACGGGGGCCCGCACAAGCGGUGGAGCAUGUGGUUUAAUUCGAAGCAACGCGAAGAACCUUACCAAAUCUUGACAUCCUUUGACAACUCUAGAGAUAGAGCCUUCCCCUUCGGGGGACAAAGUGACAGGUGGUGCAUGGUUGUCGUCAGCUCGUGUCGUGAGAUGUUGGGUUAAGUCCCGCAACGAGCGCAACCCUUAAGCUUAGUUGCCAUCAUUAAGUUGGGCACUCUAAGUUGACUGCCGGUGACAAACCGGAGGAAGGUGGGGAUGACGUCAAAUCAUCAUGCCCCUUAUGAUUUGGGCUACACACGUGCUACAAUGGACAAUACAAAGGGCAGCGAAACCGCGAGGUCAAGCAAAUCCCAUAAAGUUGUUCUCAGUUCGGAUUGUAGUCUGCAACUCGACUACAUGAAGCUGGAAUCGCUAGUAAUCGUAGAUCAGCAUGCUACGGUGAAUACGUUCCCGGGUCU